ACGGGAGGCAGCAGUGGGGAAUAUUGGGCAAUGGGCGCAAGCCUGACCCAGCAACGCCGCGUGAAGGAAGAAGGCUUUCGGGUUGUAAACUUCUUUUAGCAGGGACGAAGGACGUGACGGUACCUGCAGAAAAAGCAACGGCUAACUACGUGCCAGCAGCCGCGGUAAUACGUAUGUUGCAAGCGUUGUCCGGAUUUACUGGGUGUAAAGGGCGUGUAGGCGGCGCUGCAAGUCAGAUGUGAAAUCCCGGGGCUUAACCCCGGAACUGCAUUUGAAACUGUAGCCCUUGAGUAUCGGAGAGGCAAGCGGAAUUCCUAGUGUAGCGGUGAAAUGCGUAGAUAUUAGGAGGAACACCAGUGGCGAAGGCGGCUUACUGGACGAUAACUGACGCUGAGGCUCGAAAGCGUGGGGAGCAAACAGGAUUAGAUACCCUGGUA
This 437-nucleotide ribosomal RNA is filed under the name uncultured Oscillospiraceae bacterium. RNAcentral describes it as "partial 16S ribosomal RNA". It matches the Rfam family "Bacterial small subunit ribosomal RNA", at positions 341 to 792 of the family's 1533-position model. Lineage: Bacteria; Bacillati; Bacillota; Clostridia; Eubacteriales; Oscillospiraceae. The record is from RNAcentral.